CAAGGAAGGAGCAGUAGGUCAGCUAAGCCAAUGAAGGAGCAGUAGGUCAGCUGAGCCAAGGAAGGAGCAGUAGGUCAGCUGAGCCAAGGAAGGAGCAGUAGGUCAGCUGAGCCAAGGAAGGAGCAGUAGGUCAGCUGAGCCAAGGAAGGAGCAGUAGGUCAGCUGAGCCAAGGAAGGAGCAGUAGGUCAGCUGAGCCAAGGAAGGAGCAGUAGGUCAGCUGAGCCAAGGAAGGAGCAGUAGGUCAGCUAAGCCAAGGAAGGAGCCAGUAGGUCAGCUAAGCCAAGGAAAGUGAGGAAGCAGCAGUAGCUAAGCUGAGGAAGGAGCAGUAGGUUAGCUAAGCCAAGGAAAGAGAGGACGGGGCCAUAGGUCAGCUAUGCCAAGGAAGGAGCAGUAGGUCAGCUAUGCCAAGGAAGGAGCAGUAGGUCAGCUAUGCCAAGGAAGGAGCAGUAGGUCAGCUAAGCCAAGGAAGGAGCAGUAGGUCAGCUAAGCCAAGGAAGGAGCCAGUAGGUUACCUAAGCCAAGGAAAGUGAGGAAGUAGCAGUAGCUAAGCUGAGGAAGGAGCAGUAAGUUAGCUAAGACUUGGAAUGAGCAGUAGGUUAGCUUAGACAAGGAAAGAGAGGAAUGAGCAGUAGGUUAGCGAAGACAAGGAAAGAGAGGAAUGAGCAGUAGGUUAGCGAAGACUUAGAGAGGAAGGAGCAGUAGGUUAGCUAAGACUUGGAAUGAGCAGUAGGUUAGCUAAGACAAGGAAAGUGAGGACGGAGCAGUAGGUUAGCUAAGCCAAGGAAGGAGCAGUAGGUUAGCUAAGCCAAGGAAGGAGCAGUAGGUUAGCUAAGCCAAUGAAGGAGCAGUAGGUUAGCUAAGCCAAGGAAGGAGAAGUAGUUUAGCUGAGCCAAGGAAGGAGCAGUAGGUCAGCUGAGCCAAGGAAGGAGCAGUAGGUCAACUAAGCCAAGGAAGGAGCAGUAGGUCAGCUAAGCCAAGGAAGGAGCAGUAGGUCAGCUGAGCCAAGGAAGGAGCAGUAGGUCAGCUGAGCCAAGGAAGGAGCAGUAGGUCAGCUAAGCCAAGGAAGGAGCAGUAGGUCAGCUAAGCCAAUGAAGGAGCAGUAGGUUAGCUAAGCCAAGGAAGGAGCAGUAGGUUAGCUAAGCCAAGGAAGGAGCAGUAGGUUAGCUAAGCCAAGGAAGGAGCAGUAGGUUAGCUAAGCCUAGGAAGGAGCAGUAGGUUAGCUAAGCCUAGGAAGGAGCAGUAGGUUAGCUAAGCCAAGGAAGGAGCAGUAGGUCAGCUAAGCCAAGGAAGGAGCAGUAGGUCAGCUAAGCCAAGGAAGGAGCCAGUAGGUCAGCUUAGACAAACUGAGGAAGGAGCAGUAGGUUAGCUAAGGCAAGGAAAGUGAGGACGGAGCAGUAGGUUAGCUAAGCCAAGGAAGGAGCAGUAGGUUAGCUAAGCCAAGGAAGGAGCAGUAGGUCAGCUGAGCCAAGGAAGGAGCAGUAGGUCAGCUGAGCCAAGGAAGGAGCAGUAGGUCAGCUAAGCCAAGGAAGGAGCAGUAGGUCAGCUAAGCCAAGGAAGGAGCCAGUAGGUCAGCUAAGCCAAGGAAAGUGAGGAAGCAGCAGUAGCUAAGCUGAGGAAGGAGCAGUAGGUUAGCUAAGACUUGGAAAGAGAGGAAUGAGCAGUAGGUUAGCUAAGCCAAGGAAAGAGAGGAUGGGGCCAUACGUCAGCUGAGCCAAGGAAGGAGCAGUAGGUCAGCUAAGCCAAGGAAAGUGAGGACGGAGCAGUAGGUCAGCUAAGCCAAAGAAAGUGAGGAAGCAGCAGUAGCUAAGCCAAGGAAGGAGCAGUAGUUUAGCUGAGCCAAGGAAGGAGCAGUAGGUCAGCUAAGUCAAGGAAGGAGCAGUAGGUCAGCUGAGCCAAGGAAGGAGCAGUAGGUCAGCUGAGCCAAGGAAGGAGCAGUAGGUCAGCUGAGCCAAGGAAGGAGCAGUAGGUCAGCUGAGCCAAGGAAGGAGCAGUAGGUCAGCUAAGCCAAGGAAGGAGCCAGUAGGUCAGCUAAGCCAAGGAAAGUGAGGAAGCAGCAGUAGCUAAGCUGAGGAAGGAGCAGUAGGUUAGCUAAGACUUGGAAAGAGAGGAAUGAGCAGUAGGUUAGCUAAGCCAAGGAAAGAGAGGACGGGGCCAUACGUCAGCUGAGCCAAGGAAGGAGCAGUAGGUCAGCUAAGCCAAGGAAGGAGCAGUAGGUCAGCUAAGCCAAGGAAAGUGAGGAAGCAGCUGUAGCUAAGCCAAGGAAGGAGCAGUAGUUUAGCUGAGCCAAGGAAGGAGCAGUAGGUCAGCUAAGCCAAGGAAGGAGCAGUAGGUCAGCUAAGCCAAGGAAGGAGCAGUAGGUCAGCUGAGCCAAUGAAGGAGCAGUAGGUCAGCUGAGCCAAGGAAGGAGCAGUAGGUCAGCUGAGCCAAGGAAGGAGCAGUAGGUCAGCUGAGCCAAGGAAGGAGCAGUAGGUCAGCUGAGCCAAGGAAGGAGCAGUAGGUCAGCUGAGCCAAGGAAGGAGCAGUAGUUUAGCUGAGCCAAGGAAGGAGCAGUAGUUUAGCUGAGCCAAGGAAGGAGCAGUAGUUUAGCUGAGCCAAGGAAGGAGCAGUAGGUCAGCUAAGCCAAGGAAGGAGCAGUAGGUCAGCUGAGCCAAGGAAGGAGCAGUAGGUCAGCUGAGCCAAGGAAGGAGCAGUAGGUCAGCUAAGCCAAGGAAUGAGCAGUAGGUCAGCUAAGCCAAGGAAAGUGAGGAAGCAGCAGUAACUAAGCUGAGGAAGGAGCAGUAGGUCAGCUAAGCCAAGGAAGGAGCAGUAGGUCAGCUGAGCCAAGGAAGGAGCAGUAGGUCAGCUGAGCCAAGGAAGGAGCAGUAGGUCAGCUGAGCCAAGGAAGGAGCAGUAGGUCAGCUGAGCCAAGGAAGGAGCAGUAGGUCAGCUGAGCCAAGGAAGGAGCAGUAGGUCAGCUGAGCCAAGGAAGGAGCAGUAGGUCAGCUAAGCCAAGGAAGGAGCAGUAGGUCAGCUAAGCCAAGGAAGGAGCAGUAGGUCAGCUAAGCCAAGGAAGGAGCAGUAGGUCAGCUAAGCCAAGGAAGGAGCCAGGAGGUCAGCUAAGCCAAGGAAAGUGAGGAAGCAGCAGUAGCUAAGCUGAGGAAGGAGCAGUAGGUUAGCUAAGCCAAGGAAAGAGAGGACGGGGCCAUAGGUCAGCUAUGCCAAGGAAGGAGCAGUAGGUCAGCUAUGCCAAGGAAGGAGCAGUAGGUCAGCUAUGCCAAGGAAGGAGCAGUAGGUCAGCUAAGCCAAGGAAGGAGCAGUAGGUCAGCUAAGCCAAGGAAGGAGCCAGUAGGUUACCUAAGCCAAGGAAAGUGAGGAAGUAGCAGUAGCUAAGCUGAGGAAGGAGCAGUAAGUUAGCUUAGACAAGGAAAGAGAGGAAUGAGCAGUAGGUUAGCGAAGACAAGGAAAGAGAGGAAGGAGCAGUAGGUUAGCUAAGACUUGGAAUGAGCAGUAGGUUAGCUAAGACAAGGAAAGUGAGGACGGAGCAGUAGGUUAGCUAAGCCAAGGAAGGAGCAGUAGGUUAGCUAAGCCAAGGAAGGAGCAGUAGGUUAGCUAAGCCAAUGAAGGAGCAGUAGGUUAGCUAAGCCAAGGAAGGAGAAGUAGGUUAGCUGAGCCAAGGAAGGAGCAGUAGGUCAGCUGAGCCAAGGAAGGAGCAGUAGGUCAACUAAGCCAAGGAAGGAGCAGUAGGUCAGCUAAGCCAAGGAAGGAGCAGUAGGUCAGCUGAGCCAAGGAAGGAGCAGUAGGUCAGCUGAGCCAAGGAAGGAGCAGUAGGUUAGCUAAGCCAAGGAAGGAGCAGUAGGUUAGCUAAGCCAAGGAAGGAGCAGUAGGUUAGCUAAGCCAAGGAAGGAGCAGUAGGUUAGCUAAGCCAAGGAAGGAGCAGUAGGUUAGCUAAGCCAAGGAAGGAGCAGUAGGUUAGCUAAGCCAAGGAAGGAGCAGUAGGUUAGCUAAGCCAAGGAAGGAGCAGUAGGUUAGCUAAGCCAAGGAAGGAGCAGUAGGUUAGCUAAGCCAAGGAAGGAGCAGUAGGUUAGCUAAGCCAAGGAAGGAGCAGUAGGUUAGCUAAGCCAAGGAAGGAGCAGUAGGUUAGCUAAGCCUAGGAAGGAGCAGUAGGUUAGCUAAGCCUAGGAAGGAGCAGUAGGUUAGCUAAGCCAAGGAAGGAGCAGUAGGUCAGCUAAGCCAAGGAAGGAGCAGUAGGUCAGCUAAGCCAAGGAAGGAGCCAGUAGGUCAGCUAAGGCAAGGAAGGAGCAGUAGGUCAGCUAAGCCAAGGAAAGUGAGGAAGCAGCAGUAGCUAAGCCAAGGAAGGAGCAGUAGUUUAGCUGAGCCAAGGAAGGAGCAGUAGUUUAGCUGAGCCAAGGAAGGAGCAGUAGGUCAGCUGAGCCAAGGAAGGAGCAGUAGGUCAGCUGAGCCAAGGAAGGAGCAGUAGGUCAGCUAAGCCAAGGAAGGAGCCAGUAGGUUACCUAAGCCAAGGAAAGUGAGGAAGUAGCAGUAGCUAAGCUGAGGAAGGAGCAGUAAGUUAGCUAAGACUUGGAAUGAGCAGUAGGUUAGCUUAGACAAGGAAAGAGAGGAAUGAGCAGUAGGUUAGCGAAGACAAGGAAAGAGAGGAAGGAGCAGUAGGUUAGCUAAGACUUGGAAUGAGCAGUAGGUUAGCUAAGACAAGGAAAGUGAGGACGGAGCAGUAGGUUAGCUAAGCCAAGGAAGGAGAAGUAGUUUAGCUGAGCCAAGGAAGGAGCAGUAGGUCAGCUGAGCCAAGGAAGGAGCAGUAGGUCAACUAAGCCAAGGAAGGAGCAGUAGGUCAGCUAAGCCAAGGAAGGAGCAGUAGGUCAGCUGAGCCAAGGAAGGAGCAGUAGGUUAGCUAAGCCAAGGAAGGAGCAGUAGGUUAGCUAAGGCAAGGAAGGAGCAGUAGGUCAGCUAAGCCAAGGAAAGUGAGGAAGCAGCAGUAGCUAAGCCAAGGAAGGAGCAGUAGUUUAGCUGAGCCAAGGAAGGAGCAGUAGUUUAGCUGAGCCAAGGAAGGAGCAGUAGGUCAGCUGAGCCAAGGAAGGAGCAGUAGGUCAGCUGAGCCAAGGAAGGAGCAGUAGGUCAGCUGAGCCAAGGAAGGAGCAGUAGGUCAGCUGAGCCAAGGAAGGAGCAGUAGGUCAGCUAAGCCAAGGAAGGAGCCAGUAGGUCAGCUAAGCCAAGGAAAGUGAGGAAGCAGCAGUAGCUAAGCUGAGGAAGGAGCAGUAGGUCAGCUAAGCCAAGGAAGGAGCAGUAGGUCAGCUAAGCCAAAGAAGGAGCAGUAGGUCAGCUAAGCCAAGGAAGGAGCAGUAGGUCAGCUAAGCCAAGGAAGGAGCAGUAGGUCAGCUAAGCCAAGGAAGGAGCCAGUAGGUUACCUAAGCCAAGGAAAGUGAGGAAGUAGCAGUAGCUAAGCUGAGGAAGGAGCAGUAAGUUAGCUAAGACUUGGAAUGAGCAGUAGAUUAGCUUAGACAAGGAAAGAGAGGAAUGAGCAGUAGGUUAGCGAAGACAAGGAAAGAGAGGAAUGAGCAGUAGGUUAGCGAAGACUUAGAGAGGAAGGAGCAGUAGGUUAGCUAAGACUUGGAAUGAGCAGUAGGUUAGCUAAGACAAGGAAAGAGAGGAAUGAGCAGUUGGUUAGCUAAGACUUGGAAAGAGAGGAAUGAGCAGUUGGUUAGCUUAGACUUGGAAAGAGGAAUGAGUAGUUGGUUAGCUAAGACUUAGAGA
This is a long non-coding RNA of Oncorhynchus keta (chum salmon), 5746 nucleotides long. RefSeq lists it as uncharacterized. The transcript has 12 exons. The record is from RefSeq and is a predicted model, not a curated record. NCBI's taxonomy places the organism in Eukaryota, Metazoa, Chordata, Actinopteri, Salmoniformes, Salmonidae.